Molecule: long non-coding RNA, 378 nt
Organism: Ictalurus punctatus (channel catfish)
Lineage: Eukaryota; Metazoa; Chordata; Actinopteri; Siluriformes; Ictaluridae
Exons: 3
Source: RefSeq, a predicted model, not a curated record
UUGCACUUCACCUAUUCACCAAGAUCAAGGAAGGCAACAAAACCGGGAAUGUCUUCUACUCUCCUCUCAGCAUCUCUUCUGCGCUGGCCAUGGUGUCUCUCGGAGCUGCAGGCAACACAGCAACUCAGAUGUCUGAGGUCUUGUGCUUCAACAAACCAGUGAAGCCCAAGUGUUCAACCAGUAGCAGUCCAACAGGCACAGCAAUCUCAGAAGAUCCAGUUACCAUCGGCUUUACAAAAGGUUCUGCACCACAGCAAAGCCAAGGACGACGUCCACGUCAGCUUCAACAAGCUGAUGGCUGAACUGAACAAAGCAGGAGCUCCGUAUGCCCUCAGCAUGGCCAAUAGGCUUUAUGGAGAGCAGACCUACAAAUUUGUG